Molecule: unclassified non-coding RNA, 288 nt
Filed under: Hevea brasiliensis (rubber tree)
Lineage: Eukaryota; Viridiplantae; Streptophyta; Magnoliopsida; Malpighiales; Euphorbiaceae
Source: RNAcentral
CUGUUUAACAUGGAUUUAUUUAUAUAUUUUGCACAGAUAAAAUUGCCAAAUACAAGAUGGUGAUAAAAACUGAAAAAUCUACAGCCAUUUGAAUGGUGUCAGUAAACAUCUUACAAAUGUGCAGUGCAAAAAAAGAUAGAAAAUGUGAGUCACUUCCAAGUUCCAACUAAUAGUCCAUACAAAACAACUACUGCUGUCAUGCCUAAUUGUUUGUGCUUAAAUGCUUUUUAAUAACUUCAUUUCUGUUAAGGUCAAACAUGACAACAAUUCCCAUAUAACAGUGUUUUU